This 1037-nucleotide long non-coding RNA is filed under the name Felis catus (domestic cat). RNAcentral's name for it is "lncRNA (ENSFCAG00000053011.1)". Lineage: Eukaryota; Metazoa; Chordata; Mammalia; Carnivora; Felidae. The record is from RNAcentral.
CGGGAAGAGGUCACAGGGACCCCCAGACGGAGCUCUACUCCAGUCAUUCAGUCUCCCAGGGAGCUCACCCCCUGCGAGGCGGGGUCUCCCCAUCCCCGUUGCCCCUCGAUCUGCAGGCUGCACCGUGUCCGCGGGGAGGCAGGAGCCCGGGAAGGCAGUCAGCGGUGCGAUGUCCGUGCUGAGCGUCCUCUGCGGGGCCCAAACCCACAAGUGUCCGCAAGGCGCCAAACAAUCAUCGCCUAGCCUCGCCGGGCGCAAUUCGAAUAACAAAUGCAACGCACGCAAAUUGCCUGCCUCGUGUUGCUAAGCGAUUGUUUGUCCGCCCGCACGCACCGCUCAGCAUGGGAGGACCGGGAGCGGCCAGAGGCGGCCAGCAAGCGCUUAGGUGGGACGUGCAAUAAACACGCCGCUGAUUUUACUUAUUAUCACCCAAACACGAUUUCACGCGAAGCAAUCACCAUGCCAGAAGUCUAUGAAAAUGUGUUUGUUGAGGAGUCCGUCGCCCCGCCUCUCUCCCGGUCACAGAGCACAGCUCAUAAUCGGAUGCCCUUAAGAAGAUUUUUUCGUGGCAUGGGCAAAAAGCCGGCGUGUCCCUUACAAAGACUUUCCCGAGAGACCUCGCCCCUCUGUGAAGUUCUGGAAGCAGUGAGGGGAGACAGGAAGCAACAGAGACCAGUUUGUGCACAGCUGAGCCACCAAGCAGAGUGAGAUCUUCUGUAUAGAGAGACUGGGAGACAAAAUGUGAUUAAGAAAGAAGACUGGCCGGGAAAGACAGGAGGAGGUGUUUUAUUUACAUUUCUUACGCAUUCCAACACAUCUUACUGUGGUCAGCAAACCGGAAAGGAAAGGACAUAUUUCAUAACCUAAAGAAGGCACCAGACUUUUGUUUUGUUUUGUUUUUCCUCAGCAUUCUACAUUCCUAUCUUACCCUUCUGCCCAUUUUGAAAUGAAUAAGGGUAGAUUUUUCCUGUUAGCCGUAGUUGUAAAGUUCUUGGAAAAACAAUUGAUUUGCUAAUAAAAUAUUUCCGUAGCUUUCA